This 7595-nucleotide long non-coding RNA is filed under the name Sus scrofa (pig). RNAcentral describes it as "lncRNA (ENSSSCG00045028191.1)". The record is from RNAcentral. Lineage: Eukaryota; Metazoa; Chordata; Mammalia; Artiodactyla; Suidae.
CCAGAUCCUUUAACCUACUAGGGAUAAGGAAAUUCUAGAAUAAAAAAGGGCCUCAAAGGGCAAUUUGUCCUGAAGAAAACAAAACAAAGAGAACAAAAGAAAGAGGGCUCAUCUCUCUGAAGGCCUAUGACAGAUCUGAUGAAAGACUAAAGAUAUGGCUAUGAAAGAUUCUGUCUGUUUAAAAAAAAUUAAAGUGAUCACUAUCUCUUGGGAAAACACUAAAUUUUACAAAAGGAAAUAUAUAAUUAUACACACAACUUGGUUCUGUAAUAAGUAGCACUUGCAGAAUCCAAAUUACAUAAAAAUUAACUAAAAUUUAUGAUAUGAUUUUUGAAAGAGGGAGAGAAGGGUAGAGGUUUAAGAGAACCACAUCCUCAUCUUCUAUAACAGAAAGUCAUUAGACAAUGUCAAGUUAACCAAGCGGUAAUAUUAACAUUUAUGUGGGAAUAUGGUGAAACAUCUCAGAGUUGACAGUGGUUGUCUCUAAGGAUAAAAGGACACUGUUAUUACUCUUUUUUUUUGGCAACACCCACAGCAUCUGGAAGUUCCUGGGCCUACUAUUUCUUUAUGAACUUUCAAAUAGUAUCAUUUUGACUUUAAGAAAAACAUAAAUUACACCCACCUCACCCCACAUAAAAACCUGGCCCAAAGCCUUUUAACAAAUGUAUUUAUUAUCUCCUAUGGUUAGGAGUCAAUCCAAAUUUUCUACUUCAGUCUAGGUUGAUUUUUGUUUCUUUUCUUUUCAUCUGCACCUACAGCAUGUGUAAGUUCCUGGGCCAUGGCGCAAACCUGCACCACAGCAGUGACAACUUAACUGCUAGGCCACCAGGGAGCUCCAGAUUUCUAUUUUCUUCCCUGCUUCCUUGUGUCUUCCCAUCUGACCCAACUAGCUUAGCAUUAGGCACUUCCAUUCUCUCCCUUAGCUCAUCUCUACUGGCCUCCGUGACUCUGUUCUCCCCUGGUUUUUCUACCAUUCUGGGUGUCCUUUUCUCUCCUUCUCUGCCUCUGUUUGCAUCUCCCAUCUCUCAAACAUUAAAAUUCAUUCCCCAAGACUCACUCCCCACUCCUUCAAUCUUUUCUAUUAUCUCUCCCAAUUUCUCACCCACCCUUAUGAUUUAAGCCUGUACCUCUUUGCAGUUGGCCCACACAUCAACUCCAGCUCUAACCUCUUUGCUCAGUUUCAACUAAACAUUUCCACAGACAACUGGACUCUGCUCCUGAAUGUCCUACCACCCCCUCACUCAAAAAUCAGGCCUAGCCUCCUGAGACCCUAUUCCUGUCCAUGAUUCUUGGUCGAAACCUUGGCUUCUCCUUUUUUCUUCCCCUAGCCAGUUACUAAGUACUACUAAGUUCUUAACAAUGUUCAUUCCUUUCUUUCCAAAGGGGUUUGUCUUCAUUAUCUCGCACUUAAAAUAUCACAGUAGUCUCCCAAGCUCCUUGAAAUCUGCCCAUGUCUUAUUCACCUUUUUAGCUCUCACACCUACCUCAGGUCCUAUUGCCUAAUAAGUUGUCCGCCAACUCUAAAUACUGUCUCUGCCUCUAAUCUGUACUGCCACCAGACAUUUUUCUAAAAUGCUCAUUUGUACAUGUCACACACCAUUCAGUGUUUUAAUGGCUUUUUACUAUCUAUGUAACAAAAUCUGAAUUAGUUUAGCCUGGCACUGGAGGUUCUCUAUAGUUUCAUUCUACUACUUAUGUAAAUAUUCUCUUCCUGUUAAUCUCACUAAUGAAAACUCCUCUUUCAUUCAUCACAACACACUCACUGUGCAUCCCAGGCACAGUGCUAAGCCUAGGAGAAUAGAACGGGAGUCCAACCGUCUUUGCACCUCAUAAUCCAGCAUUCAUGUUCUCCUAAUACACUCUAAUCUACUUGUGAUGGUUCUCCCUAAAACGGAAAACCUUUCUCAUCCUCUCAGUGUGUUUAAGUAUAAGAGCCAGCAAAUAUGGAUGCUCACCAAAUGUGGGAAUAAAGGUUCCUUUGGGAAAGUGAAACUAAUAAGGCUAGACAGGUAACAGAUAAUAUCAAUAAACGGUAAGUACUAUUUACUGAGCAUUUACUGUGUGCCAGGCAUUGUGCUAAGUGACAUCUUGAUUAUUUCAUUCAAUCUUCAUGGUCUUUUGAGGUAGGUACUAUUCUUGCGACAAAUCACUCUCAAAGGUAAUUUAUAAGUUUGCUAAGCUAGUAAAUAGUGGAUGAAAAUUCAGAUCUAUUACAAAAUCCAAGAUUUUAACUUAGGCGAAACAGCUUGACCCACUGCAGAAGAUGGUUUUUAAAUGACAUGUGGGGACACCCAAGUCCAAGGUAACUAAGCUAUUUUAGCUGUCUCCCCAGCAAGACUUUAGAGUUCGUUCAAGCAGGCCUAUUUGCAUCCCCACUGUGACACACAGAUUCUAUAUUUACUGCUGCUUAGUACGUCAUCACCACCACCCACAAAUGUUAAAAAAUACUUAUGUGGGCAGUGGAUUACACUGAGAGGCAUCCUUGGAGAUCAUAAAAAGAUGUCCUCAGAGGAUGCAAAAGAGCGAUUAAUGACUUCCAAAACCCUUCCCUCAUCCAUCAAUUCUCUCCUGGACCAGAGACAGAGAACUACACAGUAACAGGAUUAAAACAAACGCCCUGAGUUUGGCACAGUAAAGAUGCUCUCAGUUCAGGCUUCCUACAAGGCCUGGAUGAUGCUGGUCACCAGCCUGAUGGCCCUUCAAGGUAUGUUCAGAAGAAUCUUAAGCACCCCCCAAAAUGAGGGUGCUAUAUAUACCUUGACAUCUUGGUUAUUCUCCAGAGAGUGGAAAGGAAGCCGAGAGUGGGGCAGGGAAAUGCUCCUCAGGCCCCGGCUGCCCACAGGAAAACAUCACACCAGUAUGAAGGCAAAACUGGUCCAAAGGGACUCAAGACUUCACACUAACUAGGGGAAGAUACAUGAAUCAGACUUCCCAUUGGUAGGAGGUCACACCUACUGGGAAAGAAAGCCUGUGGGAGAGGCAAGCAAAGACAAAUGCCUCUACUUACUGGAUGAACAGAGGGGUACAAGUUGAGGCAACAAAUGUUUGGCUAUACUGUGAAGAUGAGCAAGGCAAGAAACAGACUUGGUCUGGAGGUGGGUUUUAAACACUGCAUCUCUUCUGGAAAGGCUGAUGGCUGGAUUGAGUAUAUUAAACAGUUGCAGCUGAGUCCUCUGAGCACCAUUUAUGAGUAUGAUCAGAGUUUUCCCUAUCAGAUAAAAAUACUGGAACUUGCAAUGACCUGCCAUCAGGUUUGAAUAAUCAGUAACUGAUGCAGGUUUUUGCCUCUCUUUGGUAUUCUUAAUCCCAAGCCCUACUUAGGGUUUCCUCAAAUCAAUAACUACCACUGUUUGAAAUACCACCAGAUGUAAGCCCUAUAAACGCAGGAACUUUGUCUUGUUUACCCCCCCGCCCCCCCCCAAAAGUGUCAGGCUCACAGGAGGCUCUUAAUAAAUUUGUUUAAAGAAUUUUUGAUCCUGCUGUAUAGCACAGGGAACUAUAUCUAGUCACUUGUGAUGGAACAUGAUGGAGGAUAAUUUGAGAAAAAGUAUAUACAUAUAUGUGUGUGUGUGUGUAUAUAUAUAUAUAUGACUGGGUCGCUCUGCUGUACAGUAAACCAACUAUAAUGUAAAAAUAUAUAUAUAUAUAAAAGAAUUUAUAUGAUGGGCUAGACUUUACAUAUGAUGAUUCUAACCUCAUACAAUCCAGGUAAACAUUCCCUGAUUACUCACUAGUAAACAAGUAUAAAGAGGUUAAAUGUUGCCCCAGUGCACAGGAAUUAAUUAAUACAGGACCUGCUCACUCUAAAAUCUGUGCUCUGGUGAUUACCUACUGCCUGCUAAGCAUCUUCUCUCUCAACUCCUUCACCAUUCUCCCCAUUCUCCCUUUUCCAGAAAUAAGACCACCUAACACUCUCUUAUUCCAGCCCCUUAAUAGCAGACUAUCAAAAGAAAACAGACCUUGUCUGUGAUCCUUGGCAAGGACUUGCCAAAUGUGUUAUACUGAAGUGGUAGGGUUCAGUACAAUAAACGCACACACAUUUUCUCAGGCCCAAAGUUAUCAUGCUCACAUGUGACAAAAAGCAUGAGGGACUUUCCUGGAUCUUUGUGCCUCCCUUGGCUCAUGAAACUAAUUUCAACAAGUAUUCCUAUCCUAUCACCAUGCCAGUCAUUCAGUGCCAUACAUGGAAAACCUACCUUGAACUUUUGAGUGCCAUCUAUUUCUUGAUUGUCCUACCUUCCAUCACGGAGAAAUCAAAGGUUGGCUUCUUCCCCACUUCCACCAGGAUCAGGUAGAUUUCACUGCAACUUUAGCAGUAAGACACAACACAUGCAAUACCUUCCCUUCUUUCCUUUUCCUUUCUUAUCUAGUCAUAAGGGUCUAUCAAUCACACAUCUCAGGAUGAAUUACAUCAGGUAUUUUGUGACUAUUCUAAGUUUUCCUUUUUCUUUCUACAGCUUUGUAAGCCUUGUGCCAGAGGAAACUUUAAAAAAGUCACAGCAAGAUAAAUCUGAUUCUCUUUAGCUUGGUAUCUUUCACAUUACAAUAUGCAGAGAGAAAGAAAUAAUAGGACAAAGGAGAAGAGAUGCUAAGUAUGCCAAGAAUCUGGGGGAUAUAAGAUGGGCAAAUGUCCUUUCCUCACUGCCAGAGCAAACCUGACUUUCUUCCUACCUCAGUCAUCAGUUGAAAAACAAAAAAACAAAAAACAGCUUUCACAAAAGCAGCUGGUAUACAAUUCUCACUCAAAUACUCGAUAAGCAUGUGUGUUGUGGUACCCCAGAAGAACUUGUCCUCCCUUCCCUCCAACACAGUAAAAUAAACAACCAAGUCAAACAAAAUGAGAACACCGAUUUUUCUUGGAAGAAAUUUUUAUUUGAUACUGUUUAGGGAAGAGAGAGGAAGCAAGCAAAGAUAGGCAGGCUAGGAGAAGAGCACCAGAUCCAGUAACUGACUUGGCAGAAAAUGAGGAAACGAAGAGACCUUGGUAUUCAAUAGCAUCCACAUAGCACUGCUGGAGGAAGAGGAAGAUUAGCGCAGACAGCUGCACCCCAGAUCCUGUCUAGCUGCUACUAAGUGCUUGUCAACCUCUUUGGUCAUUUUUCUCUCUUUUUAAAUAAAUGUCAAAGUGAUAACUGCAGCCUUUUCUCCCUAAACUCACAAAUCCUCUUAUCUCUCUCUUUGGACAUGUAACCUCUUGUCACAGUCAAGCAAGGAGGUGAAGGCAGGAUAUUCCUGAUAAGGGGAACUACAUGAAUAAAGGGAUGGGAACACAGCCAACUAAACAAGGACUAAAUGGCAAGCCAUUAGAAGGAAACAGACACCUUACCUGUGAUCCUUGGCCAGGACCUGCCAAAUGUGGGAGCUAAAGUUUGUGGGAGCAGAGAGAGAGAAGGCUGAAAGAGAUGGGUAAGACCCUUAUUAGUGAUGGUCUUGAACUUCAAGCUAGGGAUUCUGGAUUUUGUGUCUUAUGGAGGUAAAAAGACUAGACAUAGAGUCAAAAGACCUGGAUUCAGAUUCUGGCUCUGCAACACAUGUGUCUUUGGGCAAAUGAAGUUUUGAGGUGCUAUUUCCAUCUACUUAUCUGUACAAUAGGCUAUUUCCUAUUCUAUUUUCUUUUUCAUAGACACCUCUGAGAAUCAAAAGAGACUCUGGAUUUUAAACAGAGAACCACUCAGAUUCUGACCCUGAAGCCUCCAAAGCUUUAUCCACUUUAUUACAUUCACUUUAAUCUUUCUCUACCUGUUUUAUGUUAGUUUUGUAUUUUUAACUAACUAAAUUUUCAGCUCACAUGUCUGGAGAUGGCUUUUACUUUUUAUUAUUCAAAGACUCUUCUGAAACUACUCAAUAUUUUACAAUCACUGGAAGUUUCACAUACAAGUCAUGCCCAACUAUAGGCAAGGUUUUUUCAGAGUUCCCUUUGUGGCUCAGUGGUUAACAAACUUGACUAGGAUCCAUGAGGAUGUGGGUUUGACCUCUGGCCUUACUCAGUGGAUUGAGGAUCCGGCGUUGCCGUGAGCUGUGGUAUAGACUGGCAGCUGUAGCUCCAACUGGACCCCUAGCCUGGGAACUUCCAUAUGCUGUGGGUGUGGCCCUUAAAAAAAAAAAAAAGAAAGAAAGAAAAGAAAAGAUUUUGUCCAUUGUGCUAUGCUAAUUAUGGGCUACAUAAAAAAUGUGCAGAAAGGACAUAUGACUGCUGCCCAAGUUUAUCAAGACAUUCCAGAACAUUAGACUACUAGCUCCUACUUGAACUAAGCAGAAUAAACAAAGCAACAACAAGUCGAAGAUCUCACUUUUAAAGAAUUAAUUUUAUUUAUUCUGCUUAUCUCAAGACUUGGUUAAACAGAAAUUUGAAAUACUUGUAUCUUGGUUUUCAAGGUAUACUGAUAUCAGUGAUUUCAAAUAAGACUAUAAAUUUCUAUACAUGAGUAAGCAGUUUUCUGGACACACAUCUUAACCUCAAUCUAUGUGAGUGAUUCACAACCCAAGGAAUUUGAACCUCUGUAAGGCCAUGGAGUUAUUAUAAGAAAUCUGUAUAAGCAUUAUCUUUAAUCUGAAUUAAUAACAUUUAUCUUACAAAUACGUAUAUACUAUACUUCAACUGGAUAUAUAGAUCCUGGUGUGACUAAUAAAGACAAAUUGAUGUAAAAGCUUGUAGCAGCUUUUUGUUAUGUGUUUUUUCCAUCAAAAGAUACUAAAAAUACAACUAUAAUCUUGUUGGGAUGGAGUCUGCUGACUUUGGGAUCUUAAAAAUGGUACCGCUUAUUAGAAAAGGUAAAGGAUAAAAAGAAAGAAAAGGUUAAGAACCACAAGCCUAUAUUGCAUUUUUAUAGACAUAAGUGUUUCAGGUGAAAAAGGAAGGCAACACAUAGGCUCCAUUUCUGUGGAUACCAUCUAAGUAUAAUCUGGCAAAACACAAAGUUUAUAUGUAUAAAAUCUGAGAGUGAGUCCCUGUAAUCCUACUUUUCUGACAGGUCUGAGAUAUCAAAACCUCAUAAUGUCCUUUGGAUGAGAUACUUUGAUCCUGUUGUGAUCUUGAAAAAGAUCUCCAGUUGUACACAUUGUAUUCUACACAUUCUAUUUUCAACCCAGGGAGCAGCCCUGUGGUUCCCAGCCUAAGUGCUGAGAUACUGACAUUACUCUAAGUUACAACCUCCCCACACAGGAUAGGCACCUGUGAUAUGUUUACCCCACCAAAUCUUUCCCUAAGCUCCCUCACGUUUAACUUACGUUAAAAAAAUAAAAUAAAAUAAAAAAACCUAAACUUAUGUUAAAUUCAUUUGGGAACUCUCAGAGUACGCUCUCCUGCCACUCACCCCAAACUCCCAAAUCCCUACUGGUUUAUUCUCAUAAAUAGCACUCUCAUCUUCCCACCUCUCUACAGAGACAAAGAGGGUUCUUCCCUCAUAUUCAAAUAUCUAUUCACCAGCCCAGCUCCUUCACCUGUCUUCCUUCACAGAUGGCAGUGGCCUAACUAAAUCAGCUCUAACAACCAACUCUGAAGUACUCUUCACUUCCCCAAGCCCCAGAGGCUGUUUAUUGUUGUUUAAAACAAUGAUGGCCCGCCUAAUGAGCUUUUGUUAUUGAUACAUGCAUUU